This 1163-nucleotide long non-coding RNA is filed under the name Calidris pugnax (ruff). RNAcentral describes it as "lncRNA (ENSCPUG00000002663.1)". Lineage: Eukaryota; Metazoa; Chordata; Aves; Charadriiformes; Scolopacidae. The record is from RNAcentral.
CAACUCUACAAAAGGAGGCGGGAAACUGGUGUUUUUCUCCCUCCCGCCCCGGUUGUUACUGGAAUCUGUGGAACCAGCAAACCCGAGCACCGAGGCUGCGUCGGAACUGGGGGGGUCUCCCUAUAAGCAGUUGCACUAUAAGGCAGUCCCGCAGUGGGGGGGUGUACGUACAGGCUGUGGGGGUGUGCGGGGGGGUGUACAGGUGUGUGUACAGGUGUGUGUACAGGUGUGUACACGCAGCUGUACUUUAGCUACCUGUAUGCAGAGAGCAGUGUUGUCUCGGGCCUGCGGUGAGGUGACACCCUGCAGAGUCACAGCUUUUCUCUCCCUUCCCCUGUGGGGCUGCGGGGGUGGGACAGGGACAGGACGUGUGCUGAGCUGCUGCACUUUUUAAUUAACAAACAUUCCUAAUUCCCCUGGUUCUGCUGCAUCCUCCCCUCUCCCGAGUCAGCACAAACCAGUCGCCCUCCUGUCCCUGCACUGGGGUUUCUGUUGGGAAAACUGGGCCAAGAGUUGGAUUUUUGGAGUCCUCUGGGCCCAGGGUGGCCGGGCCGGGUGUCACCUGGAGUCUUGGGGACGGAGGGGUCAGUCACAGGGUUUUAUCGGGUGCCUGGAGGUGUCCCCAAACAGCCCAUCUCUAGCACCUUCUCCUGUGGCCCCAGCACAGCCCGGAGGCAAAGGCAAAGUUAAAUCAGCAGCGUGGGCAGGGGUGUGUGGAAAACCAGCAGCUGUAGGUCAGCGCGGUGACAUCUGUGCGGUGACAGCCGGGCCCGUCCCAGCAGAGGUGUCUGUCACACUGGGGACAGCCCUCGCGCCACACUCUGCAUUUUGGCAAAGGCUGUUUUCCCAAGUUUUUCCCCCCCUUUGCUGUGAGGUUCCAGCCGAGGCUCUGGCAGCCUCAGGGGCUGGGCGCGCUGAGCCAGGCUGGCUCCCUCCCCUCCCCAGGGUAGCCCUUGGGCAACCAGAGCCCGCCCCGUGGCUCGUGUCUUACUGCGGAGUCUGUCCCUCUCCCUCUCUCUUCUUUUUGCCGUGUAAAACUACCUGCUUUAUAAAUGAAUGUAAAAUACAGUAGUUCUUCAGCACAUGGACAAACGUGUAUUUUAUCUUAAUGUUUCAUUUUUCUGUUAAAUAAAAGGCAUAUGAUUUUCUGGUCGGUGGUGCGG